CAGCCGCCGCGGGAACACGGAGGGUGCAAGCGUUAAUCGGAAUUACUGGGCGUAAAGCGCGCGUAGGUGGUUCAGCAAGUUGGAUGUGAAAUCCCCGGGCUCAACCUGGGAACUGCAUCCAAAACUACUGAGCUAGAGUACGGUAGAGGGUGGUGGAAUUUCCUGUGUAGCGGUGAAAUGCGUAGAUAUAGGAAGGAACACCAGUGGCGAAGGCGACCACCUGGACUGAUACUGACACUGAGGUGCGAAAGCGUGGGGAGCAAACAGGAUUAGAUACCCCCGUAGUCCCUGUCUCUUAUAC
RNAcentral lists this ribosomal RNA (301 nucleotides) under uncultured bacterium. Its description in RNAcentral is "partial 16S ribosomal RNA". It matches the Rfam family "Bacterial small subunit ribosomal RNA", at positions 509 to 807 of the family's 1533-position model. The record is from RNAcentral.